RNAcentral lists this ribosomal RNA (482 nucleotides) under uncultured bacterium. RNAcentral's name for it is "partial 16S ribosomal RNA". It matches the Rfam family "Bacterial small subunit ribosomal RNA", at positions 30 to 507 of the family's 1533-position model. The record is from RNAcentral.
AUUGAACGCUGGCGGCAUGCUUUACACAUGCAAGUCGAACGGUAACAGGCCGCUAGGUGCUGACGAGUGGCGUACGGGUGAGUAAUGCAUCUGAACGUGCCCAGUCUUGGGGGAUCACUACUCGAAAGAGUAGCUAAUACCGCAUACCAUCUAUGGGUGAAAGCGGGGGACCGUAAGGCCUCGCGCGAUUGGAGCUGCCGAUGUCAGAUUAGGUAGUUGGUGGGGUAAAGGCUCACCAAGGCAACGAUCUGUAGCGGGUCUGAGAGGACGACCAGCCACACUGGGACUGAGACACGGCCCAGACUCCUACGGGAGGCAGCAGUGGGGAAUUUUGGACAAUGGGCGCAAGCCUGAUCCAGCAAUGCCGCGUGCAGGAAGAAGGCCUUCGGGUUGUAAACUGCAUUUGUACGGAACGAAACGGCUCUGGUUAAUACCCGGGGCUAAUGACGGUACCGUAAGAAUAAGCACCGGCUAACUACGUG